GCUGGAGUCGGUCCCAAGGGUUGGGCUGUUCGCACAUUAAAGCGGUACGCGAGCUGGGUUCAGAACGUCGUGAGACAGUUCGGUCCCUAUCCGCUGCGCGCGGAGGAAUCUUGAGAAGGGCUGUCUUUAGUACGAGAGGACCGAGACGGACUGACCUCUGGUGUGCCAGUUGUUCUGCCAAGAGCAUGGCUGGUUGGCUACGUCGGGUUGUGAUAACCGCUGAAAGCAUCUAAGCGGGAAGCACGCUUCAAGAUAAGGGUUCCCACAGGUGAUCCUGGUAAGGUCCCCGAGAGAUGAUCGGGUUGAUAGGCCAGACGUGGACGCAUCGUAAGGUGUGGAGCUGACUGGUACUAAUAGACCGAGGACUUUCAUUAACA
RNAcentral lists this ribosomal RNA (377 nucleotides) under Leptospira kmetyi. Its description in RNAcentral is "partial 23S ribosomal RNA". It matches the Rfam family "Bacterial large subunit ribosomal RNA", at positions 2552 to 2925 of the family's 2925-position model. Lineage: Bacteria; Pseudomonadati; Spirochaetota; Leptospiria; Leptospirales; Leptospiraceae. The record is from RNAcentral.